RNAcentral lists this ribosomal RNA (492 nucleotides) under uncultured bacterium. RNAcentral describes it as "partial 16S ribosomal RNA". It matches the Rfam family "Bacterial small subunit ribosomal RNA", at positions 29 to 507 of the family's 1533-position model. The record is from RNAcentral.
AGCGAACGCUGGCGGUAGGCCUAACACAUGCAAGUCGAACGGCAGCAUAGUAAGAGCUUGCUCUUACGGGAGUAGCGUGUCGGACGGGUGAGGUAUCCACCGGAUUCUACUUUUUAGCGGGGGAUAACGCCGGGAACCUUCCGUUAAUACAGCAUACGACCUACGGGUAAAAGCAGGGGAUCUUCGAACCUUGCGCGGUUGAAAGGGCCGAUGUCGGAGUCGCUAGUUGGCGGGGUAAAGGCCAACCAAGGCUACGAUCCGUAGCUGGUCUGAGGGGAUGAUCAGCCACACUGGUUCUGAGACACGUUCCAGACUCCUACAGUGGGCCGCAGCGCGGAAUAUUGGACAAAGGGGGCAAGCCUGAUCUUGCCAUACCGCGUGAGUGCAGAAGUCCUUCGGGUUGUAAAGCCAUUUUGUUGGUAGAGAAAAGCAGCAGGUUAAGCUGCCGCUGUUAUGACGGUACCCAAAGAAUAAGCACCGGCUAACUUCGUG